CCACCGCCGCCGCAACCACCGAAACCACAUCCGCCUCCUCCGCUUGGUGCUCCGUAGCUCGACGAUGGUCCGCCACCACCUCCACCACCUAGAUUGGGUGUUCCAUAACUAGUAGACGGAGGCAGAUAACUACCAAGUCAUACUAACUCGCAACGAUCUCGAUUUCUCGAGUAUGGAUGGGAACGACAUCGUUGAGACAUGCUUAGAGAGACGCGCUUUGUCGGCCUUGAUGUCAUCCUGGAUAGAAGAUCGCUCGAGAAAGAUCAUCAUGACGUGAAGAAAAGAUCGUACCUUCCCUCGCGGAUCUUAUGCUCACGUUGCUUAGUUUUCGUCACAUCAUAUAUACCUCUAUCUCACUUUCUCCUUCUCUCAUCUUCUUCGACGAGGGAAUUGCUUCAUUUCGACGUCGGGCUAAUUGAUUAAAGGGAUUAUAUGCCGCGAAGAAGCUACGAGGCGUCACGGAUCUAUCUAUCCUGCCGACCGAUUUUCUCACUCAAGAGGAACAAAUGUGGUAAGAGUGAGUGAGUGAAAAAGAGAGAAAGAGAAGGAGAAAGACGGAGAAAGAUGAUUUUGUUUCGUAAGUCUCGUUUCGUUUCUUCCUUCAACUUCUGCGCUUGCCCUUCCU
Long non-coding RNA from Vespula pensylvanica (western yellowjacket), 625 nucleotides. RefSeq lists it as uncharacterized. The record is from RefSeq and is a predicted model, not a curated record. NCBI's taxonomy places the organism in Eukaryota, Metazoa, Arthropoda, Insecta, Hymenoptera, Vespidae. The transcript has 3 exons.